AACAUGAAUUUUUUAAGCCCUGUAAAUUAAAUAUUUUAGCCAAAUUAUAUUUAAAUACUUAAUUGAUCACAUACAUGGAUCAUUAACCUAAGUUAUAAAAGUUACUUAACAUUGCCAUAAAUAACUGCUCAUUUAUUAAAUGCUAAUUUUGAGGAAAGAAAGUUGUCACUAGACACAGAAGCUCAGAACCCACGACUGUAUUCUCUCCCUUGGACACCUCUAGUUGUGGAAGAAAUUUCUAAGCAGUAAAGUGUUCAAGAUGUACACUGGCUACUUCUCAUAGCCUAAUUUCAGAUUCAGUAGCAAAGGAAUAACUCGAAGUUGGAACUUAUAUUUAAAAGCGAAGCAGAGCCAAAAUGUUUGCAAAAAAAGUAGCUUGGCCAUGUGGCACAGAAAGAAAGAGUUUUUUGAGAAGGAAUUCAAGCAGGCUACUGAGCAACCACUUGCUAGAGAAAUUUGUGUAACUAAAAAGAAGGCAAGUGCUGAUCGCCAAGACAAUGAGAAAAAGUCCUGGAAGCCAUCUAAAAGAUCUAAGAGGCAGCCCUUCCCACCAUAAACCCUGAGGCCUAGGAGAACAGAAUGGUUUCCUGGGCCAGGUUUUGAGCCCUGCUGCCUUGCCUAGACUCGGGACAGUGCUUUUGCCUCCUGGCUGCUGAAGCUUCAACCCUGGCUCAAAGGGACCUAGGUACAGCUUGGGAUGCUGCUUCAGCGGGUGUAAGCCAUAAGCAUUGGCAGCUUCCAUGUGGUUUUAAGCCUGCAGGUACACAAAGUGCCAAAGUUGAGGCUUGGGAACCAUGGCCUAGAUUUCAGUGGAUAUAUGAAAAAACUUGGGUGUCCAAGCAAGAGCCUGAUGCAGGGGUGGAACCAUCAUGGAGAACCUCUACUAGGGCAGUGGGGAGCCAUCAUGGAGAACCACUACUAGGGCAGUGCAGAGUGUGAAGUUGGAGUUUCCACACAGAGUCCUCACUGGGGCACUGCCUCAUGACAUUGUGAGAAGAGGGCCACUGUCCUCAGAUCCCAAGAAAGAUAUAUCCACCAGCUUGCACUUUUUGCCUGGAAAAGUUGCUGGCACUCAAUGCCAACCCACUAGCCUGUUAGAGCAGCCAUAGGGAUUGAACCCUGCAAAGCCACAGGGGUGGAGCUAUCCAAGACUUUGGGAGCUCACUUUAUCAAACCAGUGUGUCUUAGAUGUGAGAUAUGGCAUCAAAGGAGGUUAUUCUGGAGCUUUAAGAUUUAAUGAUUGUUUUACUAGGUUUUGGACUUGCCUGGACUCUGUAGCCACUUUCUUUUAGUGGGUUUUUCCUUUUGGGAAUGGGAAUGUUUACUCAGUGCUUGUACCUCCAUUGUAUCUUGGAUGUAACUAACUUGUUUUUGAUUUUACAGGAUCAUAGGCGGAAAAGACUUGCUGUGUCUCAGAGAAACUUCAGACUUUGGGCUUUUGAGGUAACACUAAAAUGAGUUAAAAAUUUAGGGGAUUAUUGGGAAGGCAUGAUGGUAUUUUGAAGUGUGAGAAAGGUAUCAGAUUUUGGGGAGACCUAGGGCAGAAAAAUACAGUUUGGGAAUUUGUUCCUGCCCAAAUCUCAUGCUGAAAUGGAAUUCCCAGUGUUGUAGGUGGGGCUUGGUGGGGAGGUGAUUGGAUCAUGGGGGAAGAUUUCUCAUGAAUGGUUUAGUGCCAUUCUCUUGGUACUGUCGUCUUCAUAGUGAGUGAGUUCUUGCAGGAUCCGAUUGUUUAAAAGUGUGUGCCAUCUCCUCUUUCUUCCUCUUUUCUCCUGUUUUGGUCAUGUGAAGUACCUGUUCCCCCUUAGCAUCCUGCAACAACUGGAAGCUUCCUGAGGCCUCCCCAGAAGCAGAUGUCACUAGGCUUCCUGUAUAGCCGGCAGAACUGUGAGCCAAUUAAACAUCUUUUCUUUAUAAAUUACCCAGUCUCAGAUAUUUCUUUACAGCAAUGUGAGAAUGGCCUAAUGCAAUAAAUAUAAGGGAAAACAUAAGUUUGCUCAAUGUCACAACCUGGAUAAGUGUGUGAGGUGGCUGAGUGUCUUAAAACCUAAGCAGAUCCCAAUACCAUCUUGCCUCCCAAAUGUGGCAGUCUUCAACAAGCUCACACAAGAUUUCUUCUUCCUUUUACAGAACUGUCUUCAGGGUUUCUACUACACAUUUUAUCUUCUACAUAGUUGACAGAUUUAAUUUCUGAAAGGCAGAUCUAAAAAUAUGGAUUACCCUAUUCAAAGAAAAAUAGUUUAAACACCCUACCAAGGCAAUCAGACCCUCUCUCAUCAGUCCCAGCUAUACCAUUUUAGUCUCAGUUUGCUCCAUUUUGAAGUAUCAAACCAUGUACUUAAUUACACCAGCCCAAGAGGCUUGGCUUACUACUUUCCUGCCUCUUUUUUCUUGGAUAUCCUAAAUUUUCUUCCUGGGUUGCUCUUUUGACCUCAACCAGGCUAAUGUUCUAUACUACAUAUUUUUUAAGAUCCUUUCAAGUGCCAUCUUCAGCUGAACAAUUCUUUGACUCUCAUACUCAUACCUACGUUUCUUCUACAUAAAAUAAUUAUUUCCCCAGACUUCUCAGUAUAAUUUGUGUUAAACUUGUGUAUGCUAUUUAUUAUAUUGCAAUUUGUUUUAAAUGUGUUAUCUGUCUUUCCCAUUAAAUUCAUGCAUUUUAAGGUUAGCAAAUACAUUUCAUUAUAAGCUUCAUGUAAUCUAAACUAUUUGAAUAACAAAGCAGGCAUAGCUCUCUCAAAUGUGCAUGUCUCUCUUGAUAUAGUCACCACUUCACUGCUAGUUUCCAUAGACAGAUAUGUUAUUUAAGCUUUAUGUAUGUUUUUAAACAAGUGUUUCCAGUAUUAACUUUAUUCAUUCAAUCUUGAUUUAAUAGGAAAUAGGUUUCCUUUUAGUAAAUUAUUUUAGCCUCAGGCAUAUCUCCCAGUUAUAUUCUUCUUAUAAACUAUCUAGGACACACAUAAAUAUAACUUCUCCAGGAAAGCCUUCCUGUUCCAUAAAAAAAUGAAUAAGAGUCAGAGAUACCACACCAUGCCUAAGGAAAAAGAAAUCACACUCUCAGAUUUAUGUUAAUAUACUAGUCUUUCUGAAUUCAACUCCCAUAUGCUUUUGAUUAAUUCUUAUGUCAUGAAACAUCAUAAGAAAUAGGAAAAAGAAGACUGAAGGGGCAUGCGGAGGAGGAAAAGAGGGGCAGGAAUGUGAAGAAGAGGCAGAAGAGCAGAUGGAGGAAAAGAGAAGGAAAAAUGAAGAGAAAGACAAAAAAAAAAAAAAAAAAGAGAAGGCACUGUCAUUUGCAUGUACAUGAAAUUCUAACAACUGCCAUGUGGCCAUUCUAAGGCAGAUACUAUUCCCAUUUUACAGAUGAACAAACUAAGGCAUAAAUAUGCUAAGUAUCAUGUACAAGGUAAAGUAUUAAAAUGGAAAUGUCAAAAAUUAAGAAUUGUCAAACUUUCUAAGGUUACAAAGGUACAAUUGGUAUGCCCUCUUACUACCCUAUAAUUGUUUCCACUGUUUUCUGAGGAUAAUUGUUAUUUUUAUUAUUAGAAGCAUUAGAGAAUUAUUGAAUGCUUUAUUUUCUUCAUAAGAAAGAUUUAAAAAGCUUUUGAUAGUUUUGACCAAAACAAACUAGCAAACAAACAAACAAACAAUAGGAGAAAGAGAGCUCUUGAGGUCAGGUUACUUGGAGAAAAGAUUGAGGAAAUUAGAAUGAGAUGAUAUUGGAAACAUUUACCGUUUCUCAUCUCAGGCUCUUAGAGUUCUUGCAUGCUCUUGAAUCAGUCAUUGACUUAUCAGUAGAUAAGCUUGUGACAUUUUACAAGAAAGAAAUGAGACAACAGCAGGCAACAACUGGAAAUGAUUCACUGUUAUAUUUUUAAAAUUUAUUUUUCCUACAAUCUCAUAUUUUUAAUGUUCCAACAAAUACUUGAAAAAUGGUAUUUAACAAUUAUUUUAAAUCUGGUCUCCAUUUUGUUAUCCAUGAUUAGUUAUUUUAGUCAUUCAUGGAAACUAACUAAAUGAGCUAAAUAAAUAUUCCCAUCUGCUUUAUGAAAAUCACAUUAAAAUUGUUAUCAGAACAUGACUAUCUAUUAUUGAAUGAUGCACUAACACAAAGUUAAAUUACAUGUAUUUGUUUUCAGGAUAAGCUGGGGAGAAUUUGAGCAUUUAGUAAAAUGGUUUGAGAGAAUGUCUUUUUCUGUGAAUGUAUGAACAAAUAUUCUAAUAAUAAUUUGAUUUGAUGUAGAAAAUAAUAAAAUUUAUUUUCAAAUAUUAUACUCCUCCACCUCAAAACUACCACUACUGAACAUGAAUGCCAUGUGAAAUUCACAUACUUCUUGAACAGGCGUGCAUUUAUUCAACACAUAUUGGUUAAACACUUUCUUUGUGUUAAACAUUGCUGUUAACACUGAAGAUACAAGUGUGUAAAACAAACAAUCUGAUAUUUUUGUGCUUAUAUACUAAGAGUAGGCCAAAUAAUGAACUCAAUGAAGAAAGAAAAAUAAAUAGUAGUUUAGUUGGCAAUAAGUCUAGUUAAGAAAUAAAACAAGGAAACAUAAUAAAAAAAUGUUGGCUAGCUUUGCUCUCUUAGUAGUCAGGAAAAGCCUCCAGGAAAUGUUAACAGUUAAGACCUAAAGAAAAGAAUUGACUAGUUUUGAGGAGUGAAUGAUAUUAUCUGCCAGGAUUUAACAGACUAGUUCUUGUUAUUAUGUAGCAGAUAUAUUGAAAGUGAUAAAGACACAAGUAGGGGGAAGAUUCAGAAGCGCUACAAGUAGAAGGGGUGAUAUAUUUUGAAGCUAUUGACAAGAAGAUGGAUUGUAUGUGGGGUAUGAGAUUAAAAGACAAGUCAUGGUUUCUCCAAGUGUUUGGCCUGAGCUAUUUGAAGGAUGUAGUCAUCACUUAUUGGCUUAAGUAGCUGUCUGGAAGAUGUUUGGGAGAAGACCAAAUGGUCAGUUUCAGAGAUAUUAAGUUUGAUAUGCCUGGUAAACAUCCAAAUAGUUCAAUAGAUUCAAUCGAUAUAUAGAUAUGUAGAUUUACAGUCAAAGCAAAAUAAUAGGUGACAAUAUAUAAGACCACUAGGAAGAUUUUUUUUAAUUAUGAAACUCAAUAAAGUAAAUUAUUGUAGAGGAGGAGAAGUUGUGAUGACUCAGUUAUUGAAAAUCCAUUCCUAAUAAGUCAGAUGAAGAAUCAGCAAUAAGGAAAGGGAAAAGUCAAUGAAGUUGGUUAAAAAACAUAUAUAUUCUCCUGGAACUCAAAUAACAAAUGCUAGUUAAGGAGGAAGUGAUUAACAGUGGAAAAUGUUGUUGAUAUACACAGUAAGAUAAGACGUGAGAAUAGACCUCCGCAUUUAGUAAAGUAUUUGCCAUGCUUCACUGGUGACCUCAGUAAGUUCAGAAUCUGGGAACUGAUAGAAGCGAGUGCCCAAAUAAAUUGGGACUAGGAUACAGUGAGAAAAGGCUAAUGAAAGCUGACAAUAUGAAUACCUGAGGAAAGUAAUGAGAGAAAUGGGCAAAAACUAGAGAAAACAGCAGAGCUUGUAACUGUUUCAAAAUAAGAGACAUUUAUGUUGACAAAUGAAGAGAACCUCAUAUACAACAUUCAAAAGGGAUGAAAGUAAAUACAGAAUAAAGGAUACGAAAUGAUGUCUGAUGGCAAAGCACCCAGUGACACUCUCUGCAUCACCCUGUGGCUGCCAGGAGUGAGGGAGGCAUGGCCUCGGCAAUUCUGGAUUGUUUUAUUUAUCUCUUCAGUGACUCUUUCAGUGAUAUGAAGAUAAAAUCAGUACUUCAUCUCUUCUCUGUCCACUGCUGUCCUGAGAUUUCCUGUCAACGCUGACCCUCAGUGUACUCCUCUGAGGUUCUAUUCAAGUAGUGAAAAAUUAUGGCACCAAUAUCUGUCAUUUAUCACUCCUGGAAGCAGUAAGAUGCAGCUUCAUUUGUUGAAAGUCGGGGAUAUACUGACUUGUUGCUAAAUAUUAGAGAAAUGCACUAUGACAAUAGCGUAUGAAAUAAUACAGAUAGUGUUUUUUCUGUG
Cercocebus atys (sooty mangabey) is the source of this 6024-nucleotide long non-coding RNA. RefSeq lists it as uncharacterized. Lineage: Eukaryota; Metazoa; Chordata; Mammalia; Primates; Cercopithecidae. The transcript has 6 exons. The record is from RefSeq and is a predicted model, not a curated record.